GAUGAACGCUGGCGGCGUGCCUAAUACAUGCAAGUCGAGCGAACGGACGAGAAGCUUGCUUCUCUGAUGUUAGCGGCGGACGGGUGAGUAACACGUGGAUAACCUACCUAUAAGACUGGGAUAACUUCGGGAAACCGGAGCUAAUACCGGAUAAUAUUUUGAACCGCAUGGUUCAAAAGUGAAAGACGGUCUUGCUGUCACUUAUAGAUGGAUCCGCGCUGCAUUAGCUAGUUGGUAAGGUAACGGCUUACCAAGGCAACGAUGCAUAGCCGACCUGAGAGGGUGAUCGGCCACACUGGAACUGAGGCACGGUCCAGACUCCUACGGGAGGCAGCAGUAGGGAAUCUUCCGCAAUGGGCGAAAGCCUGACGGAGCAACGCCGCGUGAGUGAUGAAGGUCUUCGGAUCGUAAAACUCUGUUAUUAGGGAAGAACAUAUGUGUAAGUAACUGUGCACAUCUUGACGGUACCUAACCAGAAAGCCACGGCUAACUACGUG
This 497-nucleotide ribosomal RNA is filed under the name uncultured bacterium. RNAcentral's name for it is "partial 16S ribosomal RNA". It matches the Rfam family "Bacterial small subunit ribosomal RNA", at positions 28 to 507 of the family's 1533-position model. The record is from RNAcentral.